Molecule: ribosomal RNA, 253 nt
Filed under: uncultured bacterium
Lineage: Bacteria
Description: partial 16S ribosomal RNA
Rfam family: Bacterial small subunit ribosomal RNA
Source: RNAcentral
UACGAAGGGGGCUAGCGUUGCUCGGAAUCACUGGGCGUAAAGGGCGCGUAGGCGGACUCUUAAGUCGGAGGUGAAAGCCCAGGGCUCAACCCUGGAAUUGCCUUCGAUACUGGGAGUCUUGAGUUCGGAAGAGGUUGGUGGAACUGCGAGUGUAGAGGUGAAAUUCGUAGAUAUUCGCAAGAACACCAGUGGCGAAGGCGGCUCACUGGCCCGGUACUGACGCUGAGGUGCGAAAGCGUGGGGAGCAAACAGG